This 200-nucleotide ribosomal RNA is filed under the name uncultured eukaryote. RNAcentral describes it as "partial 18S ribosomal RNA". It matches the Rfam family "Eukaryotic small subunit ribosomal RNA", at positions 587 to 796 of the family's 1831-position model. The record is from RNAcentral.
AGCUCCAAUAGCGUAUAUUAAUGUUGUUGCAGUUAAAAAGCUCGUAGUCGGAUCUCGGGGCGGGCUGAUGGUUCCGCCGAUUGGUGUGAGACUGUCGGCCUUCCUUCCUUCCGAGGGCCUUACCUUCUUAACCGAUGGGUUUUGGUGCUCGGGACUUUUUACUUUGAAAAAAUUAGAGUGUUUAAAGCAGGCGUUUGCAU